This 467-nucleotide ribosomal RNA is filed under the name uncultured Desulfobulbus sp. Its description in RNAcentral is "bacterial SSU rRNA". It matches the Rfam family "Bacterial small subunit ribosomal RNA", at positions 920 to 1382 of the family's 1533-position model. Lineage: Bacteria; Pseudomonadati; Thermodesulfobacteriota; Desulfobulbia; Desulfobulbales; Desulfobulbaceae. The record is from RNAcentral.
CCCGCACAAGCGGUGGAGUAUGUGGUUUAAUCGAUGCAACGCGAAGAACCUUACCUGGUCUUGACAUCCCGGAGACCCUUAGGAAACUAGGGGGUGCUUCCAUCUGGAAGAAUCUGGAGACAGGUGCUGCAUGGCUGUCGUCAGCUCGUGUCGUGAGAUGUUGGGUUAAGUCCCGCAACGAGCGCAACCCUUGCCUUUAGUUGCCAGCAGUUCGGCUGGGCACUCUAAAGGGACUGCCGGUGUUAAACCGGAGGAAGGUGGGGAUGACGUCAAGUCCUCAUGGCCUUUAUGACCAGGGCUACACACGUACUACAAUGGCCGAUACAAAGGGCAGCGACACUGCGAGGUGAAGCCAAUCCCGUAAAAUCGGUCUCAGUCCGGAUUGGAGUCUGCAACUCGACUCCAUGAAGUUGGAAUCGCUAGUAAUCGUGGAUCAGCAUGCCACGGUGAAUACGUUCCCGGGCCUU